GUGCUCGCUUUGGCAGCACAUAUACUAAAAUUGAAACCAUACAGAGAAGAUUAGCAUGGCCCCUGUGCAAGGAGAACACACAAAUUCGUGCAGUGUUCCAGAUUUUU
Panthera leo (lion) is the source of this 107-nucleotide small nuclear RNA. Lineage: Eukaryota; Metazoa; Chordata; Mammalia; Carnivora; Felidae. The record is from Ensembl.